GUGGGGAAUUUUGGACAAUGGGCGCAAGCCUGAUCCAGCAAUGCCGCGUGCAGGAAGAAGGCCUUCGGGUUGUAAACUGCUUUUGUACGGAACGAAACGGUCUGGGUUAAUACCCUGGGCUAAUGACGGUACCGUAAGAAUAAGCACCGGCUAACUACGUGCCAGCAGCCGCGGUAAUACGUAGGGUGCAAGCGUUAAUCGGAAUUACUGGGCGUAAAGCGUGCGCAGGCGGUUUUGUAAGACAGGCGUGAAAUCCCCGGGCUCAACCUGGGAAUGGCGCUUGUGACUGCAAGGCUGGAGUGCGGCAGAGGGGGAUGGAAUUCCGCGUGUAGCAGUGAAAUGCGUAGAUAUGCGGAGGAACACCGAUGGCGAAGGCAAUCCCCUGGGCCUGCACUGACGCUCAUGCACGAAAGCGUGGGGAGCAAACAGGAUUAGAAACCCUAGUAGUCC
RNAcentral lists this ribosomal RNA (450 nucleotides) under uncultured bacterium. RNAcentral describes it as "bacterial SSU rRNA". It matches the Rfam family "Bacterial small subunit ribosomal RNA", at positions 354 to 796 of the family's 1533-position model. The record is from RNAcentral.